This is a long non-coding RNA of Ostrea edulis (European flat oyster), 1397 nucleotides long. RefSeq lists it as uncharacterized. The record is from RefSeq and is a predicted model, not a curated record. The transcript has 2 exons. NCBI's taxonomy places the organism in Eukaryota, Metazoa, Mollusca, Bivalvia, Ostreida, Ostreidae.
CAAUGUGGGCUUUCAGAUAAUCUACAGUAUAUAAAGUCUGUAAGAAACCAGAUGUGUUUGGGAAACACUGAUUUACCCCCCCCCCCCUCCUAUAUAUAGCAACACUGUAAUUCUGAUACUAAACUGUAGUAAAAGAAAGGUCUUGUCACAAGGAAUACAAAUGUGAAAUAUGAAAGCCCUAGUACUAAGCUUUCAAAGGUUAAUGCUAAGAGGUUAAUUUUAUUUUUAAAGUAGGUCAAAUGCCAUGGUGAAGGUAAUGAGGUCAACAAUGGUGGUACCAAAUGAAAGGUCUUGUCACAAGGAAUAUUCAUACUAUGAAAGCCCAAACACUAAGCAUUUAAAAGUUAUGACCAAGGUUAAAGUUUUUCAAAAAUAAGUCAAACCCCAAGGUGAAGGUCAUGAGGUCAACAAUAUUGGUACCCAAAGAAAGGUCUUGUCACAAGGAAUAUUCAUACAAUGUACUAAUUUUUUCAAAAGUAGGUCAAACUCCAAAGAGAAGGUCAUGAGGUCAACAAUGUUGGUACCUAAGAAAAGAAUACACAUAUGAAAUAUGAAAGCCCUAGCACUCAGCAUUCAAAAGUUAUGAGCAACGUUAAUUUUUUUUUUAUUCUUUAUAUACUGUAGAUUAUCUGAAAGCCCACAGGUUCUAAAAAUAACAGAGAAAUACGUUAUUGUUUUAUUUUUACUAGGACAUUUACCAGACCAGGUCAGUGGGUGAUUUCUUGCCUACGACAGCAGCGAAAUUCAGACUAGUAUUUCUGUUAUUUUUAGAACCUGUGGCUUGAAAUUUGGCAUGCAAGUAGGUAAGACAUUAAUCUAUGCAAGGAGACUGGCAAAUUACGCAUACCACACCUAGUUUCUGAUUUUUAAGGCAUUUGAAGCGAGUGGGUAGUUUUUUUUAUCUGGGUCAGAGUUAGACCCCUUUCUAUAUUUAUGGUAUCACAGAAUUCAGGCCCAAAACAGGCUUAGCCCCUGUAGAUUACCUGAAUGUGUAUGAUAAUAAUAAUGAUUACCUGAAUGUGUACGAUAAUAAUGAUUACCUGAAUGUGUAUGAUAAUAAUAAUGAUUACCUGAAUGUGUAUGAUAAUAAUAAUGAUUACCUGAAUGUGUAUGAUAAUAAUAAUGAUUACCUGAAUGUGUAUGAUAAUGAUAAUGAUUACCCGAAUGUGUAUGAUAAUAAUCAUGAUUACCUGAAUUUGUAUGAUAGUAAUAAUGAUUACCUGAAUGUGUACGAUAAUAAUAAUAAUAUAAUUACCUGAAUGUGUGUGAUAAUAAUGAUUACCUGAAUGUGUAUGAUAAUAAUAAUGAUUACCUGAAUGUGUACGAUAAUAAUAAUAAUUACCUGAAUGUGUAUGAUAAUAAUAAUGAUUACCUGAAUGUGUAUGAUAAUAAUAAUG